Molecule: non-coding RNA, 548 nt
Organism: Dicentrarchus labrax (European seabass)
Lineage: Eukaryota; Metazoa; Chordata; Actinopteri; Moronidae
Source: the annotation of a RefSeq genome assembly
AUCAUCAGAGUAAUCCAAGUCCCUGUUGGAGUCAGUCAGAGCAUUUCCAUAGAGAGCCACUUUGCAUCAGCAGCACCAUGCUCCAGUGCUCUGGGAGAGUUUAUAGUCCUGAGAGUUGAACACUGGAUGACUGACAGCUGUCCUUCAUGACAACAGAAGACACAGAAAUCCUCCUCAUCAAAAACAUGACUUUGAUCUCCGUCCUCAUCUGGACUCUCCUCUGCUUCACUCAGGGGUCUGUUGGACAGAAUGUUGUUGUGACUCAGCCAGCAGCCAAAUCAGUCCAACCGGGACAAACUGUUUCUAUUGAAUGUAAAGCCAGUAGACAAGUUACUCAGUACUCUGGUUCACAAUACUACCUGGCCUGGUACCAUCAGAAAACUGGAGAAGCUCCUAAACUUCUGAUCUACCUGACAUCAAGCAGACAAUCUGGAAUCUCCUCCAGAUUCAGUGGAAGUGGAGCAGGGAAUGGAAUUGACUUCACUCUGACCAUCAGUGGAGUCCAGGCUGAAGAUACAGGAGUUUACUACUAACCAACAGGUGGAUCA